UCACAACAAUACUUCUUCAGCAUCUAGACUUCUAGAACAUCUUCUAGCAUCAACAAAAGCAUCACAUCACCUACCACCAUCUUCACUUCUAGAACAUCUUCACUUCUUGAACAUGAGCAUGACCAAUGCACCAACACCUAUCAGCACCACAUCAACUAGCAGCAUAUUCAUGAGCAUCACCGGCUCUCUCCCAAGCAUCAUCAGUGCAUAAGCUUGCUGCUUGGUCAUCAAAUUUGCACUAUCAUUCUUCAUAACCUUCCUAGGC
This 265-nucleotide long non-coding RNA is filed under the name Hordeum vulgare. RNAcentral describes it as "long non-coding RNA (HVUL_LNC009117)". Lineage: Eukaryota; Viridiplantae; Streptophyta; Magnoliopsida; Poales; Poaceae. The record is from RNAcentral.